RNAcentral lists this ribosomal RNA (460 nucleotides) under uncultured bacterium. Its description in RNAcentral is "partial 16S ribosomal RNA". It matches the Rfam family "Bacterial small subunit ribosomal RNA", at positions 338 to 795 of the family's 1533-position model. The record is from RNAcentral.
CCUACGGGUGGCAGCAGUGAGGAAUAUUGGUCAAUGGACGCGAGCCUGAACCAGCCAAGUAGCGUGAAGGAUGACUGCCCUAUGGGUUGUAAACUUCUUUUAUAAAGGAAUAAAACGAGGUACGUGUGCCUCUUUGCAUGUACUUUAUGAAUAAGGAUCGGCUAACUCCGUGCCAGCAGCCGCGGUAAUACGGAGGAUCCGAGCGUUAUCCGGAUUUAUUGGGUUUAAAGGGAGCGUAGAUGGGUUGUUAAGUCAGUUGUGAAAGUUUGCGGCUCAACCGUAAAAUUGCAGUUGAUACUGGCAGUCUUGAGUACAGUUGAGGUAGGCGGAAUUCGUGGUGUAGCGGUGAAAUGCUUAGAUAUCACGAAGAACCCCGAUUGCGAAGGCAGCUUACUAGACUGUGACUGACGCUGAUGCUCGAAAGUGUGGGUAUCAAACAGGAUUAGAUACCCGGGUAGUC